This 169-nucleotide ribosomal RNA is filed under the name uncultured bacterium. RNAcentral describes it as "partial 16S ribosomal RNA". It matches the Rfam family "Bacterial small subunit ribosomal RNA", at positions 365 to 526 of the family's 1533-position model. The record is from RNAcentral.
UGCGGAUUUGGGCGAAGCCUGAUGCAGCCAUGCCGCGUGUAUGAAGAAGGCCUUCGGGUUGUAAAGUACUUUCAGCGGGGAGGAAGGGAGUAAAGUUAAUACCUUUGCUCAUUGACGUUACCCGCAGAAGAAGCACCGGCUAACUCCGUGCCAGCAGCCGCGGUAAUAG